AUGAACGCUGGCGGCGUGYUUAACACAUGCAAGUCGAACGGGAAACAUUUUAUUGAAGCUUCGGCAGAUCUAGCUUGUUUCUAGUGGCGGACGGGUGAGUAACGCGUGGGUAACCUGCCUCGCACUGGGGGAUAACAGUCAGAAAUGGCUGCUAAUACCGCAUAAGCGCACAGCAUCGCAUGAUGCAGUGUGAAAAACUCCGGUGGUGUGAGAUGGACCCGCGUUGGAUUAGCUAGUUGGCAGGGCAGCGGCCUACCAAGGCGACGAUCCAUAGCCGGCCUGAGAGGGUGAACGGCCACAUUGGGACUGAGACACGGCCCAGACUCCUACGGGAGGCAGCAGUGGGGAAUAUUGCACAAUGGGGGAAACCCUGAUGCAGCGACGCCGCGUGAAGGAAGAAGUAUCUCGGUAUGUAAACU
RNAcentral lists this ribosomal RNA (419 nucleotides) under uncultured bacterium. Its description in RNAcentral is "bacterial SSU rRNA". It matches the Rfam family "Bacterial small subunit ribosomal RNA", at positions 29 to 431 of the family's 1533-position model. The record is from RNAcentral.